Molecule: ribosomal RNA, 468 nt
Filed under: uncultured bacterium
Lineage: Bacteria
Description: partial 16S ribosomal RNA
Rfam family: Bacterial small subunit ribosomal RNA
Source: RNAcentral
GACGAACGCUGGCGGCGUGCUUAACACAUGCAAGUCGAACGGAAAGGCCCUGCUUUUGUGGGGUGCUCGAGUGGCGAACGGGUGAGUAACACGUGAGUAACCUGCCCUUGACUUUGGGAUAACUUCAGGAAACUGGGGCUAAUACCGGAUAGGAGCUCCUGCUGCAUGGUGGGGGAUGGAAAGAUUCGGCGGUGUGGGAUGGACUCGCGGCUUAUCAGCCUGUUGGGGGAGUAGUGGCUUCCCACGGCUUUGACGGGUAGGCGGCCUUGGAGGGUGACCGGCGUCCUUGGGCCUGCGGGAGGCCCCAGUCUCCUACCGUCGGCAGCAGUGGGGAAUAUUGCGCAAUGGGCGGACGCCUGAUGCAGCGACGCCGCGUGCGUGAUGACGUCCUUCGGGUUGUGAACCGCUUUCGCCUUUGCCGAAGCGUGAGUGGCGGUAAUGAGUAAAGAAGCCCCGGCUAACUACGUG